RNAcentral lists this ribosomal RNA (497 nucleotides) under uncultured bacterium. Its description in RNAcentral is "partial 16S ribosomal RNA". It matches the Rfam family "Bacterial small subunit ribosomal RNA", at positions 28 to 507 of the family's 1533-position model. The record is from RNAcentral.
GAUGAACGCUGGCGGCGUGCCUAAUACAUGCAAGUCGAGCGAACAGACGAGGAGCUUGCUCCUCUGACGUUAGCGGCGGACGGGUGAGUAACACGUGGAUAACCUACCUAUAAGACUGGGAUAACUUCGGGAAACCGGAGCUAAUACCGGAUAAUAUAUUGAACCGCAUGGUUCAAUAGUGAAAGACGGUUUUGCUGUCACUUAUAGAUGGAUCCGCGCCGCAUUAGCUAGUUGGUAAGGUAACGGCUUACCAAGGCAACGAUGCGUAGCCGACCUGAGAGAGUGAUCGGCCACACUGGAACUGAGACAUGAUCCAGACUCCUACGGGAGGCAGCAGUAGGGAAUCUUCCGCAAUGGGCGAAAGCCUGACGGAGCAACGCCGCGUGAGUGAUGAAGGUCUUCGGAUCGUAAAACUCUGUUAUUAGGGAAGAACAAAUGUGUAAGUAACUAUGCACGUCUUGACGGUACCUAAUCAGAAAGCCACGGCUAACUACGUG